GACGAACGCUGGCGGCGUGCUUAACGCAUGCAAGUCGAACGAUGAACCCGGAGCUUGCUCCGGCGGAUUAGUGGCGAACGGGUGAGUAACACGUGAGUAACCUGCCCUUGACUCUGGGAUAACUGCUAGAAAUGGUAGCUAAUACCGGAUACGACCCUCGGUGGCAUCACCAGGGGGUGGAAAGAAUUUCGGUCAAGGAUGGACUCGCGGCCUAUCAGCUAGCUGGUGAGGUAACGGCUCGCCAAGGCGACGACGGGUAGCCGGCCUGAGAGGGUGACCGGCCACACUGGGACUGGGACACGGCCCAGACUCCUACGGGAGGCAGCAGUGGGGAAUAUGGCACAAUGGGCGCAAGCCUGAUGCAGCGACGCCGCGUGAGGGAUGACGGCCUUCGGGUUGUAAACCUCUUUUAGUAGGGAAGAAGCGAAAGUGACGGUACCUGCAGAAAAAGCACCGGCUAACUACGUGCCAGCCGCCGCGGUAA
This 484-nucleotide ribosomal RNA is filed under the name uncultured bacterium. RNAcentral's name for it is "partial 16S ribosomal RNA". It matches the Rfam family "Bacterial small subunit ribosomal RNA", at positions 28 to 523 of the family's 1533-position model. The record is from RNAcentral.